AUUGAACGCUGGCGGCAUGCCUUACACAUGCAAGUCGAACGGUAACAGGUCUUCGGAUGCUGACGAGUGGCGAACGGGUGAGUAAUGCAUCGGAACGUGCCCAGUAGUGGGGGAUAGCCCGGCGAAAGCCGGAUUAAUACCGCAUACGACCUGAGGGUGAAAGGGGGGGAUCGCAAGACCUCUCGCUAUUGGAGCGGCCGAUGUCAGAUUAGCUAGUUGGUGGGGUAAAGGCCUACCAAGGCAACGAUCUGUAGUUGGUCUGAGAGGACGACAAGCCACACUGGGACUGAGACACGGCCCAGACUCCUACGGGAGGCAGCAGUGGGGAAUUUUGGACAAUGGGCGCAAGCCUGAUCCAGCAAUGCCGCGUGCAGGAAGAAGGCCUUCGGGUUGUAAACUGCUUUUGUCAGGGAAGAAAUCUUCUGGGUUAAUACCUCGGGAGGAUGACGGUACCUGAAGAAUAAGCACCGGCUAACUACGUGCCAGCAGCCGCCGCGG
Molecule: ribosomal RNA, 498 nt
Filed under: uncultured bacterium
Lineage: Bacteria
Description: partial 16S ribosomal RNA
Rfam family: Bacterial small subunit ribosomal RNA
Source: RNAcentral